UCGGAAUGACACUAAGCGAAUUAGUGGCGAACGGGUGAGUAACGCGUGAGUAACCUGCCUUACACAAGGGGAUAGCCUUUGGAAACGAAGAAUAAUACCCUAUAAAACUAUAAAAGCACAUGCUAGAAUGGUCAAAGUGCUAGCGGUGUAAGAUGGACUUGCGUCUGAUUAGCUAGUUGGUGAGAUAAAAGCUCACCAAGGCAACGAUCAGUAGCCGGCUUGAGAGAGUGUACGGCCACAUUGGGACUGAGACACGGCCCAGACUCCUACGGGAGGCAGCAGUGGGGAAUUUUGCACAAUGGGGGAAACCCUGAUGCAGCGACGCCGCGUGAUUUAGAAGGCCUUCGGGUUGUAAAAAUCUUUUGUAUAGGAAGAAAAUGACAGUACUAUACGAAUAAGGUCCGGCUAAUUACGUGCCAGCAGCCGCGGUAAUACGUAAGGACCGAGCGUUGUCCGGAAUCAUUGGGCGUAAAGGGUACGUAGGCGGCUAGAAAAGUUAGAAGUCAAAGGCUAUAGCCUCAACUAUAGUAAGCUUCUAAAACUAUUUAGCUUGAGAAAUGGAAGGGAAAGUGGAAUUCCUAGUGUAGCGGUGGAAUGCGCAGAUAUUAGGAAGAAUACCGGUGGCGAAGGCGACUUUCU
Molecule: ribosomal RNA, 639 nt
Filed under: uncultured Eubacteriales bacterium
Lineage: Bacteria; Bacillati; Bacillota; Clostridia; Eubacteriales
Description: bacterial SSU rRNA
Rfam family: Bacterial small subunit ribosomal RNA
Source: RNAcentral